This is a long non-coding RNA of Amphibalanus amphitrite, 480 nucleotides long. RefSeq lists it as uncharacterized. NCBI's taxonomy places the organism in Eukaryota, Metazoa, Arthropoda, Thecostraca, Balanomorpha, Balanidae. The record is from RefSeq and is a predicted model, not a curated record. The transcript has 3 exons.
GGCGUUGCAUGGAGCGCCGUGCACGUGGUUUCGGUGCUGUAAAAUGCGAGCGAUUUGUCUUUGAUUGCAGUGGUUUGCGGGUUGUGGUGGAAGGCGAACGUUUGAUGGGCUGCAGUGGCCGGCGAAUGUUAUUACUUGUUACUUGUUUGACGAGCGUGGUAACUCAUCGGGACCUGCCGCCAUAACCGACACCGUGACGUGAAUGUGUGAUGGUCGGUCGGUGUCAGUGUGCUUCAAGUGUGGAUAAAAACUGCGAAAAGGCAGAGAAAGCCGGAAGAGCUUCUGGAAUGUUCGUCACUCGCGGUCCGCGGAGCUCAAGCAAAACUGCAAAAGAUGUGCCGAUAGACGGACUGCUGGGACACGGACUGAUCAGCUGGUGUUCCCGAUAUCGUCUGAGAACAUCUCACCCAGGUUCCCUCAGCGUGUUGGCCCGCCGAGAUACGACCCAUUUUGAGAGAUCACCUCAGCAGUCCACUGAUA